Molecule: ribosomal RNA, 753 nt
Filed under: Galbibacter orientalis
Lineage: Bacteria; Pseudomonadati; Bacteroidota; Flavobacteriia; Flavobacteriales; Flavobacteriaceae
Description: bacterial SSU rRNA
Rfam family: Bacterial small subunit ribosomal RNA
Source: RNAcentral
AUGGCAAGCGGCAGGCUACCAUGCAGUCGAGGGGUAGAGAUUAGCUUGCUAAUCUUGAGACCGGCGCACGGGUGCGUAACGCGUAUGCAACCUACCUUUUACAAAGGGAUAGCCCGGAGAAAUUCGGAUUAAUACCUUAUAGUAUUGUUGAUAAUCAUUUAUUAACAAUUAAAGUUUCGGCGGUAAAAGAUGGGCAUGCGUCCUAUUAGCUAGAUGGAGUGGUAACGGCACCCCAUGGCAACGAUAGGUAGGGGUCCUGAGAGGGAGAUCCCCCACACUGGUACUGAGACACGGACCAGACUCCUACGGGAGGCAGCAGUGAGGAAUAUUGGACAAUGGACGCAAGUCUGAUCCAGCCAUGCCGCGUGCAGGAAGACGGCCCUAUGGGUUGUAAACUGCUUUUAUACAAGAAGAAUAAGACUUACGUGUAAGUUGAUGACGGUAUUGUAUGAAUAAGCACCGGCUAACUCCGUGCCAGCAGCCGCGGUAAUACGGAGGGUGCAAGCGUUAUCCGGAAUCAUUGGGUUUAAAGGGUCCGUAGGCGGGCUAAUAAGUCAGGGGUGAAAGUUUGCAGCUCAACUGUAAAAUUGCCUUUGAUACUGUUAGUCUUGAAUUAGUAGGAAGUGGUUAGAAUAAGUAGUGUAGCGGUGAAAUGCAUAGAUAUUACUUAGAAUACCGAUUGCGAAGGCAGAUCACUACUACUAUAUUGACGCUGAUGGACGAAAGCGUGGGGAGCGAACAGGAUUAGUGCCC